This 109-nucleotide Y RNA is filed under the name Propithecus coquereli (Coquerel's sifaka). Its description in RNAcentral is "Y RNA (ENSPCOG00000002953.1)". It matches the Rfam family "Y RNA". Rfam says of the family: Y RNAs are components of the Ro ribonucleoprotein particle (Ro RNP), in association with Ro60 and La proteins. The Y RNAs and Ro60 and La proteins are well conserved, but the function of the Ro RNP is not known. In humans the RNA component can be one of four small RNAs -- hY1, hY3, hY4 and hY5. Lineage: Eukaryota; Metazoa; Chordata; Mammalia; Primates; Indriidae. The record is from Rfam by way of RNAcentral.
GGCUGGUCCAAAUGUAGUGAGUUAUCUCACUUGAUUGUUCACAGUUACAGGUUGAACUCCUUGUUCUGCUACUUCCCCCCUUCUCAAUACUGCACUGGGCUAGUCAAAA